Thalassiosira oceanica is the source of this 84-nucleotide transfer RNA. It matches the Rfam family "tRNA". Rfam says of the family: Transfer RNA (tRNA) molecules are approximately 80 nucleotides in length. Their secondary structure includes four short double-helical elements and three loops (D, anti-codon, and T loops). Further hydrogen bonds mediate the characteristic L-shaped molecular structure. tRNAs have two regions of fundamental functional importance: the anti-codon, which is responsible for specific mRNA codon recognition, and the 3' end, to which the tRNAs corresponding amino acid is attached (by aminoacyl-tRNA synthetases). tRNAs cope with the degeneracy of the genetic code in two manners: having more than one tRNA (with a specific anti-codon) for a particular amino acid; and 'wobble' base-pairing, i.e. permitting non-standard base-pairing at the 3rd anti-codon position. The record is from Rfam. NCBI's taxonomy places the organism in Eukaryota, Bacillariophyta, Thalassiosirophyceae, Thalassiosirales, Thalassiosiraceae.
GCUAUCGUGGCCGAGAGGUCUAAGGCGUUGGACUUAAGAUCCAUUGUUCAUCUGAGCGCGCAGGUUCGAACCCUGCCGGUAGCA